UAAUUAUCCCCCUACUGAAAUAACAUAUUC
RNAcentral lists this non-coding RNA (30 nucleotides) under Mus musculus (house mouse). Lineage: Eukaryota; Metazoa; Chordata; Mammalia; Rodentia; Muridae. The record is from RNAcentral.